CCUACGGGUGGCUGCAGUGGGGAAUAUUGGACAAUGGGCGAAAGCCUGAUCCAGCCAUGCCGCGUGUGUGAAGAAGGCCUUCGGGUUGUAAAGCACUUUCAGUGGGGAAGAAAGCCUUGGGGCUAAUACCCUCGAGGAAGGACAUCACCCACAGAAGAAGCACCAGCUAACUCCGUGCCAGCAGCCGCGGUAAUACGGAGGGUGCGAGCGUUAAUCGGAAUUACUGGGCGUAAAGCGCGCGUAGGCGGUCUGAUAAGCCGGUUGGGAAAGCCCCGGGCUCAACCUGGGAACGGCAUCCGGAACUGUCAGGCUAGAGUGCAGGAGAGGAGGGUAGAAUUCCCGGUGUAGCGGUGAAAUGCGUAGAGAUCGGGAGGAAUACCAGUGGCGAAGGCGGCCUUCUGGACUGACACUGACGCUGAGGUGCGAAAGCGUGGGUAGCAAACAGGAUUAGAUACCCUAGUAGUC
Molecule: ribosomal RNA, 465 nt
Filed under: Vreelandella stevensii
Lineage: Bacteria; Pseudomonadati; Pseudomonadota; Gammaproteobacteria; Oceanospirillales; Halomonadaceae
Description: partial 16S ribosomal RNA
Rfam family: Bacterial small subunit ribosomal RNA
Source: RNAcentral